RNAcentral lists this ribosomal RNA (492 nucleotides) under uncultured bacterium. RNAcentral describes it as "partial 16S ribosomal RNA". It matches the Rfam family "Bacterial small subunit ribosomal RNA", at positions 29 to 507 of the family's 1533-position model. The record is from RNAcentral.
AGUGAACGCUGGCGGUAGGCCUAACACAUGCAAGUCGAACGGCAGCACAGUAAGAGCUUGCUCUUACGGGUGGCGAGUGGCGGACGGGUGAGGAAUACAUCGGAAUCUACUUUUUCGUGGGGGAUAACGUAGGGAAACUUACGCUAAUACCGCAUACGACCUACGGGUGAAAGCAGGGGAUCUUCGGACCUUGCGCGAUUGAAUGAGCCGAUGUGGGAUUAGCUAGUUGGCGGGGUAAAGGCCCACCAAGGCGGCGAUCCGUAGCUGGUCUGAGAGGAUGGUCAGCCACACUGGAACUGAGACACGGUCCAGACUCCUGCGGGAGGCAGCAGUGGGGAAUAUUGGACAAUGGGCGCAAGCCUGAUCCAGCCAUACCGCGUGGGUGAAGAAGGCCUUCGGGUUGUAAAGCCCUUUUGUUGGGAAAGAAAAGCAGCAGGUUAAUACCACGCUGUUCUGACGGUACCCAAAGAAUAAGCACCGGCUAACUUCGUG